Papaver somniferum (opium poppy) is the source of this 1485-nucleotide RNA transcript. RefSeq lists it as uncharacterized. Lineage: Eukaryota; Viridiplantae; Streptophyta; Magnoliopsida; Ranunculales; Papaveraceae. The record is from RefSeq and is a predicted model, not a curated record. The transcript has 7 exons.
CUUCAAUUAGAAACCGUUAACUUUCUCGUAUUCAAUUUGAAAUUCCUUCCCACCCUUUGCCUCCGGGUACCGAUUCUAAGGUUUCAAUAUUUCUCUCGUCUCUCUAAAGUCCAAACGUAAGUAAUCCAUCCAUUCAUGUCACAGAAACAACAUAUCAAUUUACAGUAGAAAAAGGUACCUAAAUGGAGUUUUAGGUCAAUCUUGUAAAUGGCGAAACGAAAAGCUAGAAGGGUUGCUGAACAAUCAUCGCCUGUAAACGUUGAAAAUGAUGUCAACAACAAGACCGAGAAACCAGAAAUAGAAGAAAAAAGUAACACAUUUGUAGAUCUUGAAGUGGAAAGGCGAAUUGCUUCAACUCGGGCAAUUGGUGAUGCGGAGGAACAACAUCUGCUGAUUGGAUUGCGUUUGCUUCGCUCUAAUUGUAGUGACGAGCAGCUACAAACCCCAGUUCUGCAAUUUUUCAAAGAAAAUAUGCCGAACUUGGCAGUAAAGACGAACGAUGGACAAUUUGAAGUCGGGUGGAAAGAAGAAGAUGAAAGAAAUAUGCAUGCAUCUUUUCUACAGCAGAUGUUCAUGGCACACCCACAUUGUGGUUCCGCAAGGCCAUCUAUUGGUGGUUUUGAUUUCUCGAGUAAAGAAGGGACUACAAACCUUCAAAUACCAGACUUUCUUAUGGGAGAACCAUCAAAUACCCAAAUGUUUGGUUUACAAGAUGCUUUCCAGACACCUGGGGCAAGUUCACAAAGAUAUUCAAUUGGCAUGACUCCUAAAACUCAAAGGGUACCAAAGCCCGGAGAGAUGCUUCACUCCGCGCGUGGCUCACCACUUGGGGUAUACAAGGAAGACAACAUGGAAGCAAUACAUGAGUCAGGUGAGGAUUAACUGGCCCAAAAUCUGGUUCGCUGCAAAACAUGUCUUGGCAAAACUCACUUAACUUAUCAGCUCGUCUCACUUCUAAAUCAUCAAGAAUAUUAGUAAGCACAGCAUUCUCAGCUGAGACCAACCUCGAACUAAGUGCUAGUCCAAGGUCCACACAGCUAGCAUCAUCUGAUUGUAAUUCUGCAAAGCGGGAGACUAUAUGAUCCGAGAUGGCCUCACGAGCCAACACUUUAAUCUCCAAAUGCGUAAAUUUAUAAGUUGAGGCGGAGCUACGUAGUUUGGCAGUACGGUCGAAGACAAAAAGUAUUACCGUCGGGUCCGUCCCCAUCAGAAGCAUAAAGAUGUCGCGACUUAUCUCUCCCACACAUGCUUGGCUUCCAGAGCUAGAUCAAUCUUUCCUGAAGGUCCUGACAUACUAGUACAAUGCCUCCCAAAGCUCUUCAUUCCACACUUUCAAUAGAGCUUCAACUGCUUCGAUUUCUGCAUAAAGACAGGCAUCAGGCACCCCUACUAUGGCCACACCGCUGUGAUAACAGACCUGCAAAGCGGAGCUGAUAGAAGCAAAAGAUGGCUUAAAGAAGACAAAACACCAAGGCGCAGCAAAUU